This is a long non-coding RNA of Drosophila santomea, 859 nucleotides long. RefSeq lists it as uncharacterized. The record is from RefSeq and is a predicted model, not a curated record. The transcript is spliced from 3 exons. NCBI's taxonomy places the organism in Eukaryota, Metazoa, Arthropoda, Insecta, Diptera, Drosophilidae.
AGCAUAACUUUUCAAUUUGCAAUUUUUAUGGCAAGGUCAGAGGAAACUCACCACGGAGCGUCGUAAAACCCACCCCUUGGGCAGAUGGUUCGUGGAAAGGCUAAGUCAGGGGUUAGAAGGGUUCACUUCCGCUUCCUAUAAGAACCGAAAACACUAAGAACUCGAAGCAUAAAAACAAUUGGACGAGUUGAUUGGCCUUUGAUGUGUCAGGAGGCAUUUGGUGUGGCUGGAAAAAAGUGUCAGUCGGAAAAUGUGUGCCACUGUUUUUGUCGCUAAUGAUAUGCACCCCUGGGCCUAAAAGGCCACGACCCCUUCAAAUGCGAUGGAUAUCGUUUGACGCAAUCGUUGUUUUUUUUUGUUUUUUCAGUUUUUCUGUUUUUCGAAGGAAACCAGCAAACAUGCGUGCCGUAGUGGUGCCAUAGUUUGCAAGCUUGGGUUCAGUUCUGUUUGAAGUCGCAGUCACCUGGGCACAGGAAAAGGAAGAGUUGGAGAACGCGUUGCCCUUUUGACUGCAUUAUGCAAAUGUUCAAUGAAAAGAGAUUUUUAUUGACAUAUGUUUUUCCCUUUUGCCGCGCGGCUUCCAUCAUUCUUGGGUUGGGUUUUCAGUGACUGAGUGCUUUGGUUUGCAUUUCGAACCGAUUGAAAAUUUUCUCUUUUGCCGGAGUUUUUCCAAAUGAUGAAACCAAAAUCAAAACUAUUAAAGUCAGAUCUUGAAAGUGAGUUAAACAGAUGCAAGUUUUGGCUUUUAAAAUGAAAAUUAUGUUGAUUUUAUGAUGUAAACAUAUAUAGUUUUAAUGAUGGUUAAUAUUUUUUAUAACUACUAAUUUAUUUCUCAGCGAGUUUAUUGCUUAAAUGUAAA